UUUCCUUGUCUUUAGCCGAAGAGGAGAUCUGCGCGGCUCUCCGCUAAACCGCCUCCUGCCAAAGCAGAGCUGAAGCCAAAAAAGUCAACGGCAAAGGAUAAAUCUGAGGACAAGAAAGCUCAGUCAAAAGGGAAAAAAGGGCCUAAAGGAAAACAGACAGAAGAGAUGAACCAAGGACAGACAAAGGACAGCUUGCCUGCAGAAAAUGGAGAAACUAAAAGUGAGGAGACCCCAGCAUCUGAUGCAGUAGUAGAGAAAGAAGCUAAGUCAGAAUAACAUCUUAUACCGACUCUUUAUUUGGUGGUCCUUAUACCUUUCUUCUUGUACAAUUCAGAGGAUUAUUUUUAUCAACUAUUUUGUAAAUGCAAGUUUUUUAGUAGUUCUAGAAAGCACAUUUUUAAAAAGGAAAGAAUCCCAACUCAACCCAUUUUUUUACAUAUUUAGAUAAGUAUGAAUACUUUUUUAAAGUGGUAAAAUCGUGUACUGGUUGUCUCUUUUCUAUGAUACCAGAAAUUAAUGGAAUGUUGAGGGCUUCAAAGUCUUGAUUAGGCUUCUCGUUCCAUAGACAGUGAGGGACAGUUCUUUUCUUUCCUAUUAAAUGAAGCAUAACAGAUCAAACUUUGAAGGUGUUGAAGAUGUCUUAACAUUGUAGUUAUUUAUCUAUGAUUGUACUAUCAGUAGAAUUGCUUACCUAAUAAAACUGUUCCCCAGUGUUGGAUUUCUUGCUGAGUUGUGUACUGCCUGUGACAAAAUUAUUUUUGGUAAGUGCAGUUUUAUUUUUUUCCAACAGCUUUGUAAAUGCUGAAGGAUUGAAAACCCUUAUUAUAUCCUUAAAUACUGAAUAGGGAAAACUUUCUGCUUGGCAGAUGUAACAGCUUAUGUCAGUAUGCAAGAUACUGGCACUUCACGUCCAGUUUUAAAGGACAGCUUGUCUGCAAAGAUGAUGUCUUCCAGUGCUGCACCACGGUACGCUUCUCGUCCCAUUCCACCAUAGCUGUAUUCCUAGCAGAACUCACCUGGCUUUGGCCGUAGCUUUGGCUUCAUAUUCUGUGAUGUUCUGCAAGGCUUGAACUGUAAUUUUCUGCUGCUUUUUCUUUCCCCAGUUACCUUAUUUGUCCCUUUAACUUUAGUAGUAGCACAACACUUGGCUGCAUAUGUGGUAUGUUUGUUUAUUUUGUAUUUUUAGCAAGUUAAAAAACAUCAGUGAAAUGACCCAUUAAAUUUGCAGGCAAGUAUCCUGAAAUAACCUCUUUUGCCUCCUUCUUGAAUGCCUACUUUCUGUGUGUGUUGUCUUUAAUGUUGAAGUUGUGCUGACCUUCAACAUCCUCUCUCUGACCUCUGUUACCCAGUGUUUGAUCAGAGCUGCUCCCUAAUACUUAAUGUGCGUGAAAAAAGUUACUUCGCACUUUGUUAUGGAAGUGAAUUGAAUCAGUGACAGCUUACCCAUCAGAGGACAGAGAACGUUUCAUAUUGAAAGGAGGAAAGGACAGGUACUAGAAUCAGGAGCAUAGGAGUCCUAGAUCUGCUUUUGAGCACCAGAGCCCGCUGUUGUUGCAGUAAAGAAUGAAAUAGACUUUCCUAAAUACCUGCAGUAUGCCGGUGUUAUGUAAAUCUGUAGGUGAACAACCUCUUAAAUUAUGGAAUACAAAUUGACUGUAUGACUUUUGCUUGAUCAUGCAGUAGAUGGGGUUGGAGGAAGCUUUUCACAGCUCUAAUGCCAGAGUCCCCAGAGCUCUAUGUAUUCAACAUAGCUAUGGGCAUGAAAGGAUUCUCUUAGCCUCUACUGUAAAGAUAACUGCUGCUUGGGCACCCUUUGAGAAGAUGAUUGCUGUCAAAGAACCAUUCUUUAGUCAUCAAAAGCAGUCCACUCAGGAGAAAGAAAUCUAAUUUUAAGUCAAGCACAUUGUACCCCAUAAUGAAUAAGAUUAUAUAAAUAGCAGAUAAUGCAGAUUAUUGCCCUUAUCCAUGUACCAUGAAAUGCCACUGUGUAACCAAAAACGACAACACUGGCUGCUGGGAAAAGGAGGAAUUGCAUGUAUUAACACUAGAUGUCAAUCCUGCAUGUGGACAAUUGAAUUGGAAGGUAUUUAGACUCGUAUCUGACAAUGAUUUCCAUGGCUAUGUUUUGGAGAUAGCAUUCUUUCCUGUAACGACAGCAGAAAUAUAUUUGCUCCAUGUGAGGAAGGAAUGGAGUGACAGUUAAUAACAAUUUGCAUGUAGCACUAGAUACAAAAUGCAAAUCAGCCAUUUGAAAAUAGAGCAUCAAGAGAAUAAAACGUGUUUCUGUAAGGGUUUAUUGAGUCACAAAAAUUUGUUUGUAUACUGCUACUAGCUACUGUUCUGGUUAAGAGAAUGCUAUUUUAUAUGUGUUCACAUUGCACCAUUCUUCUGGACUUCAUCUUCUAGUGUCAGCUAAUCACUACUCUUUAAACCAAGAACACAGCCAGGAUGCUGAAGUGCAUUCAGCUUUAAUUGAUACUGAUUGCUCUGGCAAUGAAAUCUAGAGAAAUGCAGGCGACCCUUGAAGAAGGAUCUGGCUAAAGCUAGAACAAUGCACAUGUUCAGAGAACCUCUGAUCUCUUUUAAGGGGAGAUUUUAAUGAGAAUAAUGCUUUUUUUUUAAUUCCAUCUGAACUGUGAUACAGGAGUUCUGAACAGGCAGUAGGUGGUGAAGAGCGGGCCUCUGCCUUGCAGGACACAUUGGGGAAGACUGCCUACUUCUGGGCCUACACCGAAUGUGUACAAAAGUUCUUUUGUCAAAAGCUGAGAGCACACCUGAGGCAGUAAGAUUAAUAAAAUACAAAACUAUUUCUACAUUGAUACAUAAAAAUAUUUUGCUUCAAAGGCUCUAAAAAUGCAUACCAAACUGCCACAGCUGGGAAAUGAAAAAGGGAAGAAAGGGAUAGCUGCAGAUUUAAAAUACAAUGAAAGUGAGAGUGUAGCCAUUGCUCCAUUUACAUUAGCCUUUGUAGUGGGCAGAGGUAAGAAACAACUUGUAAGGAGAAAAGAAAGCCACCUCAAACAGGCCCCCAAAACCCUGGGGGAUGGAGAGGAGGCUACUGCCUCUUUGAAGAGGCAAUAGGGGGCACUGAGGCAGAGCUGUCACUUUUGGAAAGGAGAUGCAAACAAACUGGUUCUUUCCUCCAAAGAGGGACGGGGAAGACUGGUUCCCCAAAGGGAGGCUGAGGUGCCCCCUGCAAGUGCCGCACACCUGCACCGUCCUUGGAGGAACUGACCUCCCCUGUCCCGUCUGCGCAGUGGCCGCCAGAAGUGACGAGACCCCCUUGAAGUAGCAGGUAGGGGCUGACAAAAGACAAUUAAUUGCUCACAGUGCAAAACCACUGUAUUGGUGACAGCAGGAUUACUGCUGUGAGCGGCUGCGGAGAGCGAGCGGCCUGGCAGAUCUGCUGCUGUCUUCUUAGG
Struthio camelus australis is the source of this 3422-nucleotide non-coding RNA. The record is from RefSeq and is a predicted model, not a curated record. NCBI's taxonomy places the organism in Eukaryota, Metazoa, Chordata, Aves, Struthioniformes, Struthionidae.